ACCAAGGAGAGCAUCCCGUGUGUCUCCUCUGCAAAGAGGAACCAAGCACUGCAGAGAAUUAGCACCUGCUGCCCACUCUGAGCUUCUCCACCAGUAUGUUGAUUCAACAAUGUGCCUCUGGAACACGAGAGGUGCAGGUACAACAUGAAAGAGAUGAGUUUCAGAUCAGCUUCCAGCUCAGCUCGAAGGUCGGGCUUGGACAUCUCAUAGCCCAUGGAAUCAUAGCCUGAGGAACAUACCACAUGGUAAAGCGAAAGGAAGGAGGAGUUUUCGGGAAGCCAAUUUCUCAAGUUCCUGCAUUGGGAGGAGCCAGAAAAAGAAUGCAUUUGUGCAUAAUUCAGAGGGAAGGCCUCAGGAACAAAGGCCUGGAUGGCUUUAAAGCGUUCCACCACAAAGCCCAGCGUCGGGAACUGGCAGCUGCCAUAGCUGAUCAGCUGAUCUGCUAAAAUAUCAGGGAAGAUCUUCCGGAGCCUCAGCGUCUGGAAUCUGGUGAAGGCAGCACCUGAGAAAACACAAAAGGACACCAAGACUGAACACAACAACAUUGAAGAAUAAUCACAACACUUCGGGUGAUUCUUUUUAAUACUCUGAUUAUUAAUUUUACUUUAGUUUAAUACUCAGUUGCAGACACCUGUCAGUGCUGCAUGAGCUAUAACCUAACACUUGCUUCAAAAAGCACGUUUCUAGUAAAACACAAGAUGUGAUUUAGUUGUAUCUGAUCAAAAAAUCAGAUUUAUGACACUACAGAGGGCAUUUCUGUCUUGUGUUGAGGAUAUGGUAACGAAUGAUUCCUAAGCACCCCUUGCUGGGCUUCAACAAUGUGCAUUCAAUGUGAUUAGAUGAGAAGCGAGGAAGAGCCCGAUGACCAACCAUCCUCUGGGUACAGCAGUCUGAGGAAGUUUAAGUAUUUAUAAUAAGCUCUACACUGAUAACAAAGCUGUUCCCUGCCUGCCUGCCACACUCUUGCUCACCUGCCUUCAGUAGAGGUGCAGGCAGCAGCUCAGGCCUGGCAGCCCGCUCUCCU
Calidris pugnax (ruff) is the source of this 1024-nucleotide long non-coding RNA. RefSeq lists it as uncharacterized. The transcript is spliced from 4 exons. The record is from RefSeq and is a predicted model, not a curated record. NCBI's taxonomy places the organism in Eukaryota, Metazoa, Chordata, Aves, Charadriiformes, Scolopacidae.